GAAGGAAAGAAGAAGAUGAUUAGAAAGAUAUGUAGAU
This 37-nucleotide small RNA is filed under the name Arabidopsis thaliana (thale cress). Its description in RNAcentral is "ATSL246760". Lineage: Eukaryota; Viridiplantae; Streptophyta; Magnoliopsida; Brassicales; Brassicaceae. The record is from RNAcentral.